UGUGGGAGCUGGCUUGCCUGCGAUGCGCACGCCUCGGUGUAUCAGUCACAGCGCGCUGACGCUAUCGCAGGCAAGCCAGCUCCCACA
This 87-nucleotide unclassified non-coding RNA is filed under the name Pseudomonas cedrina. Lineage: Bacteria; Pseudomonadati; Pseudomonadota; Gammaproteobacteria; Pseudomonadales; Pseudomonadaceae. The record is from RNAcentral.